This 468-nucleotide ribosomal RNA is filed under the name uncultured bacterium. RNAcentral's name for it is "partial 16S ribosomal RNA". It matches the Rfam family "Bacterial small subunit ribosomal RNA", at positions 28 to 507 of the family's 1533-position model. The record is from RNAcentral.
GACGAACGCUGGCGGCGUGCUUAACACAUGCAAGUCGAACGGAAAGGCCCUGCUUUUGUGGGGUGCUCGAGUGGCGAACGGGUGAGUAACACGUGAGUAACCUGCCCUUGACUUUGGGAUAACUUCAGGAAACUGGGGCUAAUACCGGAUAGGAGCUCCUGCUGCAUGGUGGGGGUUGGAAAGUUUCGGCUGUUGGGGAUGGACUCGCGGCUUAUCAGCUUGUUGGUGGGGUAGUGGCUUACCAAGGCUUUGACGGGUAGCCGGCCUGAGAGGGUGACCGGCCACAUUGGGACUGAGAUACGGCCCAGACUCCUACGGGAGGCAGCAGAGGGGAAUAUUGCACAAUGGGCGGAAGCCUGAUGCAGCAACGCCGCGUGCGGGAUGACAGCCUUCGGGUUGUAAGCCGCUUUCGCCUGUGACGAAGCGUGAGUGACGGUAAUGGGUAAAGAAGCACCGGCUAACUACGUG